UCUACGGGGUGCAGCAGUGGGGAAUAUUGGACAAUGGGCGAAAGCCUGAUCCAGCCAUGCCGCGUGUGUGAAGAAGGCCUUCGGGUUGUAAAGCACUUUCAGUGGGGAAGAAAGCCUUGGGGCUAAUACCCUCGAGGAAGGACAUCACCCACAGAAGAAGCACCGGCUAACUCCGUGCCAGCAGCCGCGGUAAUACGGAGGGUGCGAGCGUUAAUCGGAAUUACUGGGCGUAAAGCGCGUGUAGGCGGUCUGAUAAGCCGGUUGUGAAAGCCCCGGGCUCAACCUGGGAACGGCAUCCGGAACUGUCAGGCUAGAGUGCAGGAGAGGAAGGUAGAAUUCCCGGUGUAGCGGUGAAAUGCGUAGAGAUCGGGAGGAAUACCAGUGGCGAAGGCGGCCUUCUGGACUGACACUGACGCUGAGGUGCGAAAGCGUGGGUAGCAAACAGGAUUAGAUACCCCAGUAGUC
This 465-nucleotide ribosomal RNA is filed under the name Vreelandella stevensii. Its description in RNAcentral is "partial 16S ribosomal RNA". It matches the Rfam family "Bacterial small subunit ribosomal RNA", at positions 338 to 795 of the family's 1533-position model. Lineage: Bacteria; Pseudomonadati; Pseudomonadota; Gammaproteobacteria; Oceanospirillales; Halomonadaceae. The record is from RNAcentral.